Molecule: long non-coding RNA, 1845 nt
Filed under: Sus scrofa (pig)
Lineage: Eukaryota; Metazoa; Chordata; Mammalia; Artiodactyla; Suidae
Description: lncRNA (ENSSSCG00035013497.1)
Source: RNAcentral
UGGGUUCUGGAAAGCCAGUAGAGAUUCCAUUGAAUAAAACGGGGGGACCCUAUAGUUGAGAAGAGCUCUGAGGGACAAAAGCAGUAGCCACCAAUGCCUCGCUGUGCAGAGAGGGGAGACCCCAGAAGAGCUGGCUGUGUGUGCACUCAAAGUGGUCCCUCAAGACCUCGAGGUAUAAGAACUGCUGAGGACUGGGCAGCAGCUCUGCUUUGUCUUUAUGUUCCCGAAGGAUGGAGGGGUUGUAGCAUCCUGCUGCCCACUCAGUGAUGUCCACAUCAUCCCCAAAGAGCUCAGGGGGUAGUCUGAGCUCCUUUGUUUUGAAAAUGACCCAUCUUUUCCUCUCUCUUUCUGAAUCUUUAGUUCUACCCUCUUGCUGAUGAGGAUCUCCAGCAGCCUCUGGAUAUGUGGGCUGACAAGUGAGGGUCUGCUCAUCUCUCCCCAGCUGUCUGUGGGGCUUUCCCAGUUGGAGGCCCCUGGUGAGGAGGGCUCUUGUUGGGCCUCCUGCUUGGAUGAGGUGGGGAAGAACAAGGCCUUGGUGGUCUCCCACUAGCAGGAGAGGAAUGCCAUGGGACAGCUGGCGAGGCCAAGACUCCAGAUGGCUGGGAUGGCAGAUGCCCAAAAGGAGUUACCUGGAGGUGAGCACUUUGCGGCAGGACCCUGUGGGAUGCUCUUGGUGUUGCAUUGGUCUUGAGGGGCUGCUGCCAGGAUGGAGGCCAGAGGGGGAGGGCUCUGGGUCAGAGGAGCCAGGGAAGCUGAUGGGGACAUGGAACAGCCUCUAGUGCAGGCUUCCCUGCAUGGCUGCUGGGCUCCAGCGGGCACUACCUGGCACACCUCGCCAGGGGGGUCUGGACAUGAAUGGCAGUGAAAGCGGCCCCUGUCAGGGACUCAGCGCAGGUGGCUGCAGGAGACAAGAGGCACAAGCUCUAGGCAGGAGCCGACAGGGCCAAGGCAGGGGUAGGCACCUGCAGCCACGGCCCCCCACAGCCCCCACGCUGACUUCACAGUGCACCUCUGUCCCUCCCCUUGGGGCUUGAGCUGAACCCCGCUGCCAUGGCUCCCCCUCCCAGGUCAGCCCCAGGCUGCCUGCAACCCUAGGGUCACACCCUGAGCCCUGGAAGGAAGAAGAACCCAGGAGAGAUUCUUUACCUUUGCAGAUGUGCCAUCAGGCCCCAAACCUGUCCCAGCUGUCGCAGGCCAUCUCUGCAGGCUGGAAAUCAGGACACUGGGUCAUGGUGGUGAAGGCAGGGGCAUGAGGGUUUUACAGGAGGCUGGUCCCUUUAGGGGACACUUUUGGGAGACUGGAGCCCAAGCACCAGUGUCCAAGGCCACACGAAUCCUGACAGUGAUGGAGAAGCUCACAGACAGUUUUCUCAUUGGCAAAGUGCUUCCAUAUCUAUUACCCCUGGCUGCCCUCACAAGCCCCCUGGGGGUGCGGGGGUGGGGGAGAGGGAGCAGGGAGACCUCACAGAGGAAUCCCGGCCAUGUGAAACCACUUGUUCUCAGUCCAACCUGGAGGAUCCACCUCCCAAUCCAGGCACUCCUGGUCCAAGACAGCCCACACGCCCCUGCUGGGUCAUGCCCUUUCCCAGGCUCCUCACAGCUUCAUUCUGCAAAAGUAUCUGGUUCCUGCUUUCCUUUGCUGAGGGUUCUGUUUCCUGCUGCUGGCAUCCUUAUAGACCAAGGAGCUGGUCCCUCAGGGCUGGGAGAGAUGGAAGCAGAUUCUCAGGGCGCACAGGGCUGAACGUGGAAGCUUACCUUUCAAGGCUCUAUUUCUCAUCCUACUCCUCCUCCCCACCAGCUCCAUUUGUUGCUGAGAAAGAGGAAAGAAAAAAAAAAAAAAAAAAA